AACAGAGUGAAUGCUGUAACGUAAGCUGCAGUAGGUGCCAAUGAACACGAGGACAGCAGAAAUACUUUAAGAUGCAACAAGGCUUAGGUGUGCGGUGGACCUCGGUCUGGUCUGCUGGGAAAAGGCAGUGACCGUAGAACAGCUUGGCACUUACAAUUAGAAACUGCUGACACUGUAAGUAGAGACGAGUCCCUGGCACCAUUGCAAAUAGCAACACGCUUUGUGGGAAAGGACUGCUGGACUCUCACCCACGUUCCCAGUCACAGAGACAGCAUUCUCGCUCAUUUUCCUUGUGAGUUCUCCCUUAUCUCCAGAAUUUUUUGUGCCUGCGGAUCUCUGAGUAUUUUUCCCUCCUUACCCUCGACCCACUGAAUGAAUGCCCUUGUUCUCCUGGAGAAAUCUUCCUUCAAGUGUCACUUUUCUAAUACCCCAAGGAAGUUCUCACUCCUUUAGGAAAGAUUCCAUGGGCAGGCAGCACUGAUGCUCAGUGCAGAGACGACUCUGCCUGUCUUCCCUGGUUCGGGUCUCCUUGCCGCACUCCCUUUCCUGCUGGAUGGGGAACCCCCAGGCCUGUGUCAUUGGAGACGGGGCCCGGGGAAGGACACGCUCAAAGCUUUCUAAUGUCACCGUUUCCACAAAGUGUCAGGGGCUCUUUGUUCCUCAGGCACUAAUUCUCAAUAAAGUCUACCCAACUUUC
Long non-coding RNA from Microcebus murinus (gray mouse lemur), 697 nucleotides. RefSeq lists it as uncharacterized. Lineage: Eukaryota; Metazoa; Chordata; Mammalia; Primates; Cheirogaleidae. The record is from RefSeq and is a predicted model, not a curated record.